RNAcentral lists this ribosomal RNA (466 nucleotides) under uncultured bacterium. RNAcentral describes it as "partial 16S ribosomal RNA". It matches the Rfam family "Bacterial small subunit ribosomal RNA", at positions 28 to 507 of the family's 1533-position model. The record is from RNAcentral.
GACGGACGCUGGCGGUGUGCUUAACACAUGCAAGUCGAACGGUAAGGCCCUUUCGGGGGUACACGAGUGGCGAACGGGUGAGUAACACGUGAGUAACCUGCCCUCAUCUCUGGGAUAACAGUCGGAAACGGUUGCUAAUACUGGAUAUGAGCUUGCAAGGCAUCUUGUGGGUUGGAAAGAUUUUUUUGGUUGGGGAUGGACUCGCGGCCUAUCAGCUUGUUGGUGAGGUAGUGGCUCACCAAGGCUUCGACGGGUAGCCGGCCUGAGAGGGCGACCGGCCACAUUGGGACUGAGAUACGGCCCAAGCUCCUACGGGAGGCAGCAGUGGGGAAGAUUGCACAAUGGACGGAAGUCUGAUGCAGCAACGCCGCGUGCGGGAUGACGGCCUUCGGGUUGUAAACCGCUUUCAAUUGUGACGAAGCUUUUUGUGACGGUAGCAGUAGAAGAAGCACCGGCUAACUACGUG